AGUGAACGCUGGCGGUGGGCCUAACACAUGCAAGUCGAACGGCAGCACAGUAAGAGCUUGCUCUUACGGGUGGCGAGUGGCGGACGGGUGAGGAAUACAUCGGAAUCUACUUUUUCGUGGGGGAUAACGUAGGGAAACUUACGCUAAUACCGCAUACGACCUACGGGUGAAAGCAGGGGAUCUUCGGACCUUGCGCGAUUGAAUGAGCCGAUGUCGGAUUAGCUAGUUGGCGGGGUAAAGGCCCACCAAGGCGACGAUCCGUAGCUGGUCUGAGAGGAUGAUCAGCCACACUGGAACUGAGACACGGUCCAGACUCCUACGGGAGGCAGCAGUGGGGAAUAUUGGACAAUGGGCGAAAGCCUGAUCCAGCCAUACCGCGUGGGUGAAGAAGGCCUUCGGGUUGUAAAGCCCUUUUGUUGGGAAAGAAAAGCAGCAGGUUAAUACCCCGCUGUUCUGACGGUACCCAAAGAAUAAGCACCGGCUAACUUCGUG
Molecule: ribosomal RNA, 492 nt
Filed under: uncultured bacterium
Lineage: Bacteria
Description: partial 16S ribosomal RNA
Rfam family: Bacterial small subunit ribosomal RNA
Source: RNAcentral